CCUACGGGUGACAGCAGUAGGGAAUAUUGGUCAAUGGGCGAAACCCUGAUCCAGCUACGCCGCGUGUGGGAUGACGGCCCUCGGGUUGUAAACCCCUUUUGUCAGAGACGAUAAUGACGGUACCUAUCGAAUCAUCACCGGCUAACUCCGUGCCAGCAGCCGCGGUCAUACUGCGGGUGCAAGCGGUAAUCGGUAUUACUGGGCGUAAAGGGCGCGUUGGUGGGAUAGCAAGUCCGAUGUGAAAUCCUAGGGCUUAACCAUAGAACUGCAUAUGAAACUGUUAGUCUAGAGUUUGUGAGAGGUAGGUGGAAUUCUAGGUGUAGGAGUGAAAUGCGUAGAGAUCAAGAAGAACACUGAUGGCGAAGGCAGCCUGCUGGAACAUAACUGACGCUGAUGCACGAAAGCGUGGGGAGCAAACAGGAUUAGAUACCCGGGUAGUC
Molecule: ribosomal RNA, 440 nt
Filed under: uncultured bacterium
Lineage: Bacteria
Description: partial 16S ribosomal RNA
Rfam family: Bacterial small subunit ribosomal RNA
Source: RNAcentral